This 578-nucleotide ribosomal RNA is filed under the name uncultured bacterium. RNAcentral's name for it is "bacterial SSU rRNA". It matches the Rfam family "Bacterial small subunit ribosomal RNA", at positions 102 to 674 of the family's 1533-position model. The record is from RNAcentral.
ACGGGGUAGUAACGGGUAGGCAACGUACCCUCGGGUCGGGGAUAGCCACGGGAAACUGUGGGUAAUACCCGAUAAUCUCUGCGGUGGUAAGUAUCGCAGAGCAAAGGUGUGAUUCCACCGGAGGAGCGGCCUGCUUCGUAUUAGCUUGUUGGUGAGGUAACGGCUCACCAAGGCGACGAUGCGUAGGGGGUGUGAGAGCAUGACCCCCACCACUGGGACUGAGAUACUGCCCAGACACCUACGGGUGGCUGCAGUCGAGAAUCUUCGGCAAUGGGCGCAAGCCUGACCGAGCGACGCCGCGUGUGGGAUGAAGGCCCUUGGGUUGUAAACCACUGUCAGAGGGGAUGAAAUGCGGGAGAGCUAUCUCUUCCGUUUGACAUAGCCUCAGAGGAAGCACGGGCUAAGUUCGUGCCAGCAGCCGCGGUAAUACGAACUGUGCAAACGUUAUUCGGAAUCACUGGGCUUACAGGGUGCGUAGGCGGUCUGUUAAGUAGGGUGUGAAAGCCCCCGGCUCAACCGGGGAAUUGCGCCCUAAACUGGCGGACUGGAGUGAGAUAGGGGUGUGCGGAACUUCCGGU